CCUACGGGUGGCAGCAGUGAGGAAUAUUGGUCAAUGGGCGCGAGCCUGAACCAGCCAAGUCGCGUGAGGGAGGACGGCCCUACGGGUUGUAAACCUCUUUUGCCGGGGAGCAACGGGCGCCACGUGUGGCGUCACUGAGAGUACCCGGAGAAAAAGCAUCGGCUAACUCCGUGCCAGCAGCCGCGGUAAUACGGGGGAUGCGAGUGUUAUCCGGAUUUAUGGGGUUUAAAGGGUGCGUAGGCGGAUCGAUAAGUCAGUGGACAAAUUGAGGGGCUCAACCCCUUCCCGCCAUGGAAACUGGCGUUCUGGGGUGGAAGAGAAGUAUGCGGAAUGCGUGGUGUAGCGGUGAAAUGCAUAGAUAUCGCGCAGAACCCCGAUGGCGAGGGCAGCAUGCCUGCUUCCGACUGACGCUGAAGCACGAAAGCGUGGGAUCGAACAGGAUUAGAUACCCUUGUAGUC
This 459-nucleotide ribosomal RNA is filed under the name uncultured bacterium. RNAcentral describes it as "partial 16S ribosomal RNA". It matches the Rfam family "Bacterial small subunit ribosomal RNA", at positions 338 to 795 of the family's 1533-position model. The record is from RNAcentral.